Dromaius novaehollandiae (emu) is the source of this 1155-nucleotide long non-coding RNA. RefSeq lists it as uncharacterized. Lineage: Eukaryota; Metazoa; Chordata; Aves; Casuariiformes; Dromaiidae. The record is from RefSeq and is a predicted model, not a curated record. The transcript has 3 exons.
GUCUGCUGUGGGCCUUUCCCAGGCGUGGCUGAGACUUUCAGGCGCCACGGGCUUCCCCCCGGGCAGGAUGUUGGCGUUUGGAGUUGUUGCGGUGCAGAUGAUGAAGGCAAAUGUGGUGAGCAAAAGAAGAUCAGAGGGUGUGGCUGCUGCAGAGGAUGUGUCUGCUGUUGAGGAUGCCUCUUGAGGAGCAACAGUGAUGCAGAGCACUGCAAAAGCGAAGUGCAUGGGCAAAGGGUGUUGCGGUGUGUGUGUGUGUGUUGGUGUGUGUGAGGCAGAGGCAGUGGGGUGUGCAUGGCAGAAAGUGAGGGUGGGUGUCAGGCAGGGCAGCUCCAGCCUGUGUCUGUGUUGUUGUGUAGUCUAUGUGGUGUGUGUUGUAGCUGUGCUAUCUUUUGCUCAGGUCUUGAUGUUGCCCUUGCUCUUUGUGCUCAAGGAGCACAGCAUAUGCUUUGUAGUGCUAGUGCAACAGGCAUCUGCUGUCUUUUGUCUGGUCUUGACCGACUCAUCUGUGUUGCUCCAAUGAUCAUCUUGUUCUGUGCAGGCAGCUGAAAGCAGCAGUCUGUCACUGUGAUUCUGCAUUGUUUCUGGCCAAUCAUCUUGGCAGCCAUCAUUCAGGUCUUGUUGGUUGUGUGUUUUCUGAGGCCUCUCUUAUUUUGCAUCCUCCUGGUGCCCUUUCAGGGUUUUCUUCCCUGUGUCAUCAGAGCCUCGGGUCUUUCUUGCUGGCCUCUUCCGCAUGGCCGUUCCUCGCUUUGCCGGCCCCUUUCCAUCACAGAUGGUGGCAUCUGACUCUUUUCUGGUCUCGUGGAGAGCACCAGAGCCGCACGGUCGUGGCAUUGUAGGGCUUUCUGGCUGGCAGCAUCUUCUGUGCUGGCAUUGUUUUUUGCAUGGAGGGUGUGUGUACGUGUCUGUGUGUACGUGUCUGUGUGUACGUGUCUGUGUGUACGUGUCUGUGUGUACGUGUCUGUGUGUACGUGUCUGUGUGUACGUGUCUGUGUGUACGUGUCUGUGUGUACGUGUCUGUGUGUACGUGUCUGUGUGUACGUGUCUGUGUGUACGUGUCUGUGUGUGUGUUUGGAGCUGCCUUGCCUGUGGGUGUAGUAAUGGUAGUUGCCAGAGCAGAAUAAUGUAUCUAUGAAACACUUAUUUUGUUUUUUCUUU